This 88-nucleotide transfer RNA is filed under the name Cuscuta bonafortunae. RNAcentral describes it as "tRNA-Ser". It matches the Rfam family "tRNA". From Rfam's summary of the family: Transfer RNA (tRNA) molecules are approximately 80 nucleotides in length. Their secondary structure includes four short double-helical elements and three loops (D, anti-codon, and T loops). The record is from RNAcentral. Lineage: Eukaryota; Viridiplantae; Streptophyta; Magnoliopsida; Solanales; Convolvulaceae.
GGAGAGAUGGCUGAGCGGUUUAUAGCCCCGGUCUUGAAAAUCGGUAUAGUGGAAAGAACUAUCGAGGGUUCGAAUCCCUCUCUCUCCU